Molecule: non-coding RNA, 71 nt
Organism: Petromyzon marinus (sea lamprey)
Lineage: Eukaryota; Metazoa; Chordata; Hyperoartia; Petromyzontiformes; Petromyzontidae
Source: Ensembl
CAGAAGAUAGCUUAAAAGUUAAGCAUUUCCCUUACACCGAAAAUAUUCUUGUGCAAUUCAAGAUCUUCUGA